This 73-nucleotide transfer RNA is filed under the name Ornithorhynchus anatinus (platypus). Its description in RNAcentral is "tRNA-Gly (CCC) (tRNA-Gly-CCC-5-1)". It matches the Rfam family "tRNA". Rfam says of the family: Transfer RNA (tRNA) molecules are approximately 80 nucleotides in length. Their secondary structure includes four short double-helical elements and three loops (D, anti-codon, and T loops). Further hydrogen bonds mediate the characteristic L-shaped molecular structure. tRNAs have two regions of fundamental functional importance: the anti-codon, which is responsible for specific mRNA codon recognition, and the 3' end, to which the tRNAs corresponding amino acid is attached (by aminoacyl-tRNA synthetases). tRNAs cope with the degeneracy of the genetic code in two manners: having more than one tRNA (with a specific anti-codon) for a particular amino acid; and 'wobble' base-pairing, i.e. permitting non-standard base-pairing at the 3rd anti-codon position. Lineage: Eukaryota; Metazoa; Chordata; Mammalia; Monotremata; Ornithorhynchidae. The record is from RNAcentral.
GCAUUGGUGGUUCAGUGGUAGAAUUCUCGCCCUCCCACGCGGGUGACCCCGGGUUCGAUUCCCGGCCAAUGCA